Molecule: ribosomal RNA, 2940 nt
Filed under: Carnegiea gigantea
Lineage: Eukaryota; Viridiplantae; Streptophyta; Magnoliopsida; Caryophyllales; Cactaceae
Description: eukaryotic LSU rRNA
Rfam family: Eukaryotic large subunit ribosomal RNA
Source: RNAcentral
UAAAACGUAACGACCCUCAGCAAUAGAUAUCCCGGCUCUCGCAUAGAUGAAGAACGUAGCGAAAUGCGAUACUUGGUGUGAAUUACAGAAUCGUCGGACCCUAAGGUGUUGAAAGCACAAAACCGUUACAACCCCAAGUCACGCAAGGCUACCUGUUGAGUUUAAGCAUAUCAAUAAGUGGAGGAAAUGAAACUUACAAGGAUUCCCCUGGUAACGGUGAGCGAAUAGGGAAGAGCCCAGCUUUAAAAUCGGGCGGCCUCACCAUUUGAAUUGUAGUCUGGAGAAGCGUCCUCUGCGGCGGACCGGGCCCAAGCCCCUUAGAAAGGGGCAUCAGAGUGGGUGAGAGCCCUGUCGUACCCAGACCCUGUCGCACCAUGGGGCGCUGUCUCUGAGUCGAGUUGUUUAGCCUAAGAUGGCAGUAAAUUCCGUCCAAGUCUAAAUUCGGGCGAGAAACCAGUAGCGAACAAGUACAGCAAGGGAAAGAUGAAGAGGACUUUGAAAAGAAAGUUAAAGAGUGCUUGAAAUUGCCAGGAGGUUAGCGGAUGAGGGCCGGUGAUGCACCCCGGUCGUAUGUGGAAUGGCCACAAGCCGAUCCGCCGAUCGGCUUGGGGUGCCGAUCGAUGCGAAUUGGAAGGGCAGCUAGUUCCGUCCGAAGUUUCCCUCAGGAUAGCGGGAGCUCAUACUCGCAUUCUAUCAGGUAAAGCCAAUGAUCAAAGGCAUUGGGGGCGCAAUGCCCUCGAUCUAUUCUCAAACUUUAAAUAAGUAGGAUGGCGCAGCUGCUUUAUUGAGCCGCGCCGUGGAAUCGAGAGCUCCAAGUUGGCCAUUUUUGGUAAGUAGAACUGGCGAUGCAGGGUGAACCGGAACUCGAGUUAUGACACCCAACUGCGCGCUAACCUAGAUCCCUCAAAGGGUGUUGGUCGAUUAAGAUAGCAAGACGGUGGUCAUGGAAGUCGAAAUCCGCUAAGGAGUGUCGGGGCAAGUGCAAGGCCCCGAUAAGUAGGAGGGCACGGCGAUUGCUAUAAAACCUGUGGCGCGAGCUAGGGCGGAGCGGCCGUCGGUGGUAGUAGCAAAUAUUCAAAUGAGAAGUUUGAAGGCCAAAGAGGGGAAAGGUUCCAUGUGAACGGCACUUGUACAUGGGUUAUCAGUCUUAAGAGACAGGGGAAACCCAUCCGACAGCGCGUUUUGUGCUAGCUUUGAAGGGAAUCGGGGGCAACGUUAGGGACUCCAGAGAAGUCCGUGGGGGCCUCGGGAAGAGUUAUCUUUUUUGUUUAACAGCCUGCUCACCCCGGAAAUAACUUAAUCAGAGGUAGGGUCUAGCCGUAAGAAGAGCAUCGUACGUCAUGCGGUGUCCAAUGCGCCCUCGGUAGCCCUUGAAAAUCUGAAGGACCAUGUGCCAACCACACCCGGUCGUACUCAUAACCGCGUCAGGUCUCCAAGGUGAAUAGCCUCUCGUCGAUGGAACAAUGUACGCAAGGGAUGUCGGCAAAAUGGAUCUGUAACUUCGGGAAAAGGAUUGGCUUUGAGGGCUGGGCACGGGGUUCCCAGUGCCAAACCCAUCGAUUGUCGACGAACUACUUGAGCGUCUCGCACGAUGAGAGCGGGUCGCCGUGUACCGGCCGAGGGAUGGACUGGGAACGGCCCCUUCGGGGGCCUUCCCCGGGCAUCGAACAAUCAACUCAGAACUGGUACAAACAAGGGGGAUCUGACUAUUUAAUUAAAACAAAGCAUUGUGAUUGUCCCCGUGGAUGUUAACGUAAUGUGAUUUCUGCCUAGUGCUCUGAAUGUCAAAGUGAAGAUAUUCAACCAAGCGUGGGUAAAUAGCGGGAGUAACUAUGACUCUCUUAAGGUAGCCUAAUGCUAAGUCAUCUAAUUAGUGACGCGCAUGAAUGGAUUAACGAGAUUCCCACUGUCCCUGUCUACUAUCCAAUGAAACCACAACCAAGGGAACGGGCUUGGCAGAAUCGUGCGGGCAAAUAAGACCCUGUUGAGCUUAACUCUAGUCCGACUUUGUGAAAUGACUUGAGAGGUGCAGCAUAAUUAGGAGCUUCGGCGUAAGUGAAACACCACUACUUUUAACGUUAUUUUACUUACUCCGAGAGUCGGAGGUGGGACAUCGCCCCUCUAUUUGGACCUAAGGCUCGCUUCGCGGGCCGAUCCGGGUAGAGGACAUUUUCAAGUGGGGAGUUUGGCUAAGGCGGCAUAUCUGUUAAAAGAUAACGCAAGUGUCCUAAGAUAAGCUCAACGAGAACAGAAAUCUCAUGUGGAAUAAAAGGAUAAAAUCUCGUUUCAUUCUAAUUUUGAGUAUGAAUACGAACCGUAAGAGCGUGACCUUAUGAUCCUUUAGACCUUCGAAAUUUGAAGCUAGAGGUGUCAGAAAAGUUACCACAGGGAUAACUGAAUUGUGGCAGCCAAGCAUUCAUAGAGAUGUUGCUUUUUGAUCCUUUGAUGUCGGCUCUUCCUAUCAUUAUGAAGCAAAAUUCAUCAAGUGUUGGAUUGUUCACCCACCAAUAAGGAACAUGAGCUGGGUUUAGACCGUCAUAAGACAGGUUCCUUUUACCCUAUUGAUAACAGUGUCACGAUGGUAGUUCAACAUAGUGCAAGUGGAACCGUUGAUUCACACAAUUGGUAAUCGCACUUGGUUUAAAAGCCAGUGGCACGAAGCUACCCUGCAUUAGAUUAUGACUGAACACCUCUAAGUAAGAAUCCGGGCCAAAAGCGACGCAUGCGCCCAUCGCCCGAUUAUCGACCUGCAGUAGAGGCCUUGGCCCCCAAGGGCAUGUGUCGUAGGCUAAGCCAGCGCGAUGGAUGCGCCGUGAGGACCACCCUGAAAUACAAUUCCUACCGAGCAGCGGGUUGAAUCCUUUGCAGACGAGUUAUAUACGCGACGGCAUAUUGAAUGUGGCAGAGUGGCCUUGCCCUCUCAAGUCUCCUCAACUCAAC